UGCAAGUCGAACGAACUCUGGGUAUUGAUUGGUGCUUGCAUCAUGAUUUACAUUUGAGUGAGUGGCGAACUGGUGAGUAACACGUGGGAAACCUGCCCAGAAGCGGGGGAUAACACCUGGAAACAGAUGCUAAUACCGCAUAACAACUUGGACCGCAUGGUCCGAGUUUGAAAGAUGGCUUCGGCUAUCACUUUUGGAUGGUCCCGCGGCGUAUUAGCUAGAUGGUGGGGUAACGGCUCACCAUGGCAAUGAUACGUAGCCGACCUGAGAGGGUAAUCGGCCACAUUGGGACUGAGACACGGCCCAAACUCCUACGGGAGGCAGCAGUAGGGAAUCUUCCACAAUGGACGAAAGUCUGAUGGAGCAACGCCGCGUGAGUGAAGAAGGGUUUCGGCUCGUAAAACUCUGUUGUUAAAGAAGAACAUAUCUGAGAGUAACUGUUCAGGUAUUGACGGUAUUUAACCAGAAAGCCACGGCUAACUACGUGCCAGCAGCCGCGGUAAUACGUAGGUGGCAAGCGUUGUCCGGAUUUAUUGGGCGUAAAGCGAGCGCAGGCGGUUUUUUAAGUCUGAUGUGAAAGCCUUCGGCUCAACCGAAGAAGUGCAUCGGAAACUGGGAAACUUGAGUGCAGAAGAGGACAGUGGAACUCCAUGUGUAGCGGUGAAAUGCGUAGAUAUAUGGAAGAACACCAGUGGCGAAGGCGGCUGUCUGGUCUGUAACUGACGCUGAGGCUCGAAAGUAUGGGUAGCAAACAGGAUUAGAUACCCUGGUAGUCCAUACCGUAAACGAUGAAUGCUAAGUGUUGGAGGGUUUCCGCCCUUCAGUGCUGCAGCUAACGCAUUAAGCAUUCCGCCUGGGGAGUACGGCCGCAAGGCUGAAACUCAAAGGAAUUGACGGGGGCCCGCACAAGCGGUGGAGCAUGUGGUUUAAUUCGAAGCUACGCGAAGAACCUUACCAGGUCUUGACAUACUAUGCAAAUCUAAGAGAUUAGACGUUCCCUUCGGGGACAUGGAUACAGGUGGUGCAUGGUUGUCGUCAGCUCGUGUCGUGAGAUGUUGGGUUAAGUCCCGCAACGAGCGCAACCCUUAUUAUCAGUUGCCAGCAUUAAGUUGGGCACUCUGGUGAGACUGCCGGUGACAAACCGGAGGAAGGUGGGGAUGACGUCAAAUCAUCAUGCCCCUUAUGACCUGGGCUACACACGUGCUACAAUGGAUGGUACAACGAGUUGCGAACUCGCGAGAGUAAGCUAAUCUCUUAAAGCCAUUCUCAGUUCGGAUUGUAGGCUGCAACUCGCCUACAUGAAGUCGGAAUCGCUAGUAAUCGCGGAUCAGCAUGCCGCGGUGAAUACGUUCCCGGGCCUUGUACACACCGCCCGUCACACCAUGAGAGUUUGUAACACCCAAAGUCGGUGGGGUAACCUUUUAGGAACCAGCCGCCUAA
This 1440-nucleotide ribosomal RNA is filed under the name Lactiplantibacillus plantarum. RNAcentral describes it as "bacterial SSU rRNA". It matches the Rfam family "Bacterial small subunit ribosomal RNA". The record is from RNAcentral. Lineage: Bacteria; Bacillati; Bacillota; Bacilli; Lactobacillales; Lactobacillaceae.